AUUCUUGUGCCUCAGCCUCCCGAGUAGCUGGAAUUGCAGGCAAGCGCCACCACGUCCGGCUAAUUUUUAUAUUUUUAUAUUUUUAGUAGGGACGGGUUUCACCAUGUUGGCCAGGCUGGUCUCGAACUCCUGGCCUCAGGUGAUCCACCCGCCUUGGCCUCCCGAAGUGCUGGGGAUUACAUGCAUGAGCCACUGCGCCUGGCCAAAAGCUUUUAUAUAUAUUUAUAAAUGGACAUAGAUAUCUGUGAGGCUGUCGGGUAUGGUGGCUCACGCCUGUAGUCCCAAGCACUUUGGGAGGCCGAGGCAGGCGGAUCACGAGGUCAGGAAAUCAAGACCAUCCUGGCCAACAUAGUGAAACCCCCGUCUCUACUAAAAAUAAAAAAAUUAGCCAGGUGUGGCAGUGCGCGCCUCUAGUCCCAGCUACUUGAGAGGCUGAGGCAGGAGAAUCGCUUGAACCCCGGAGGCGGAGGCUGCAGUGAACCGAGAUCGCGCCACUGCACUCCAGCCUGGGCGACAAGGCGAGACUCCGUCUCCAAAAAAAAAAAGCUAUUUGUGAGGUAACAAUCUAAAUAUGUUUGAGCUAGUGCAACAGUAAGUUAACUCCUUACAUCUGUUAAUUCAGCAAGCACUAACAAGUGAUGGAGAUUAAAAAAAAAAAAGGAAUGAGCCACAGCUUUGCCAUCAAAGACUUCAGCGUCUCUUAGGGGAAACAGAUGUAAGCAAAUAAUGACACGAUUUAGGGCAGAGAUAUAUCAGAAGAUCAGCUUGCCUGUGCGUGGGGGAAAUGUUAGGGAAGUUUGGGUUAUCCAGGCUACAAUGUGUGGAAAGGGAUUUCGCACAUACAAACAACAGAGGGCCAAGACAUGAAUAUGAUUUCUAGUUUAAGGAACCAGAAGUUUAGUAUGACUACUUGGGGUGACUUUGGAGAGGAUGGGACCAUGAUGUCAGAAGUUGAAAUUGGGAGCAAUUGAAAGAUUCUAAGCCAGGAAGGAAUCAUUUUCUAUUUUAGGAUGGAUUUGAGAAAGUUAAGACCAAGAGGCACUUAACAUACCCCUGAAAUAGAAAAGAAAUGAUGCAUGAGGGCGUUGGUCAUAAGGAUAGAGAAGAGACAAGAUCAGAAGUAUGUAGGACAGUAAAUCUGCAAGAUGAAGUUGGGGUGAAAUAAAAACCACAAAAAUCUCGUUUGGGGCUUUCCAAGGUUGUGCCAACAAAUAAGGUAGGGCAUACAGGCUGGUAGCUAGAUUGUUAAGAUGAGUAACUGCUUGCAACAACUUGAUUAUUUGAAGUUACAGUGCAUAGAUGACUGUGGGACAGUGAUCUGAUGCUGCAAGAUUACCAGUGUUACCAAAUGACAAAGACAUCAAGAGGGGAGAAUUUAAACUUUCAAUGAUUGACCAAGGAGUUGUGCAUUUCAUUUUGUAACAAGGGCGUAAGAUUAAAAACCCCCUAAAGAUAUUACAAGAAUUUAUAUCCCAAGCUCUGGUCAUUGUCCAAAAUUAUCGUUCUGAUACUGGCACCAUGAUAACCAUUACAAGAGAUCAGAAAUGAUGACACGAGCCCAGACACAGUGGCUCACACCUGUAAUCCCAGCGCUUUGGGAGGCCAAGGCCAGAGGACUGCUUGAGCCCAGGAGUUCGAGACCAGCCUGAGUAACAUAGUAAGACCCCAUCUCUACAAGAAAUAAAAAAUAGCCAGGGGUGGUAGGUGUGUACCUGUAGCCCCAGCUACUUAAGAGGCUGAGGCAUGAGAAUGGCUAGAGCCGGGGGGGAUUGACGCUGCAGUGACCCAUGAUCACAGCACUGCUCUCCAGCCUAGGCAGCAGAGCAAGACCCUGUCUCAAAAAAAAGACACGAUGACAUGAGUUUUCCUUUACAAGAGCCUUGGGAGUCCUUUUACAACUUACUAUCACAUUCAUGACAAAUAUUCUUUCUAAAUUUUGAAUAGGAACAAAGAUUUCUAACAAGAGAGAGAAUAUCUUCCCGAUUCGACUCCCAUAUGUCAAGAGACUCAGAUGUGACUCAUAUUUGCCUGCCAGGAGGAGGAAAAAGAAAUACACUGUCCAGGAGCAACUCCUUAGUGGGUACCCACCAGAAGUGGUCUCCAAACAAGGGUCUCGCUGAUCCCAAAGAUGAAGAGACAAAACCGGCCUUGCUUGCCCCCAAGGUGAGACUUCGGAUCUGUGGUGAGGGAGGGAAAAAUUCCAGCAGACCCAAGAGGAAGGCUACAGAAGAAAGGACAGAAGCGUGGAGAGAAAUUCUAAGCAGGAGGCUGGGGAAGAAGGAAGAGCUUCAGGUCACUGGGUCACCCCACCAGGAGAUAGUCCCCUUGUGGCCUUGAGACUUAUGCAAUGGGCAGAUGCAAUCUGGGUACCUAAGGCAAGGAUUGCCCUUAUUCUGGCCAUGACAUUUAACACCUAAUUGCAGCAAUAACCCCUCUUUUCCACCUGGAGAAAGCUUCCUGGCCCCUCUUUUUCACUUGUGGGUAAGUCUGGCCAAGAGCAGGGUGAAGAAACCCAUAGUCUAACACAAAACCACAUUUUUUAUUUUUAUUUUUUUAAUUGUAGAGACAGGGUCUUACUGUGUUGCCUACACUGGUCUCAAACGCCUGGCCUCAAGCAGUCCUCCCACUUCAGCCUCCCAAAGUGCUGUGAUUACAACACAAAACCACCUUAUCAUUAAAAAAUUAGGGCAAGGAACAGUGGCUCACAUCUGUAAUCUCAACACUCUGGGAAGCCAGGGUGGGAGGAUCACUUGAGUCCAGAAGUUCGAGACCAGCCUGGGAACACAUACAAAAACCCCACCUCUACAAAAAAUACAAAAAUUAGCCAGGCAUGGUGGUGCGUGCCUAUAGUCCCACCCACUCAGGAGGCUGAGGUGGGGAGGACAGCUUGAGCCCAGGAGCUGGAGGUUGCAGUGAACCGAGCUUGUGCCGUUGCACUCCAGCCUGGGCGACUGAGAGAGACCCUGUCUCAAAAAAUAAAAAUUAAAAAGCUUUUAAAAAGUUAAAAUAUUGAAGCCACCAAAGGUUAAUAUAUGAAUAUUGGUAAUUAGAUGAGAUUAAGAUGAUUUUUGGCUUGAGAAUCCAGAUUCACAAAUCUUUUUUUAAUUUUUAUUUUAGGUUCAGGGGUACAUGUGCAGGUUUGUUACCUGAGUAUAUUGCAUGAUUCUAAGGUUUGGGGUAUGAAUGAUCCCAUCACCCAGGUACUGAGCAUAGUACCCAACAGUUAGUUUUUCUUUUCUUUCUUUCUUUCUUUCAUUCUUUCUUUCUUUUUUUGAGAUGGAGUUUCACUCUUGUUGCCCAGGCUGUAGUGCAAUGGCGCGAUCUCAGCUCACUGCAACCUCCGCCUCCCGGGUUCAAGCGAUUCUCCUGCCUCAGCCUCCCGAGUAGCUGGGAUUACAGACAUGCACCACCACGCCUGGCUAAUUUUGUAUUUUUAGUAGAGACGGGGUUUCACCAUAUUGGUCAGGCUCAGGAGUUGGUCAGCUCCUGACCUCAGGUGAUCCACCUGCCUCAGCCUCCCACAGUGCUGGGAUUACAGGUGUGAGCCACUGCACCCAGCCUCCCACCCAAAUUUCAUGUUCAGUUGUAAUCCCCAGUGUUGCAGGUGGAGCCUGGUGGGAGGUAAUUGGAUCACAGGAGGUGGAUCCUUAUCUCUCUCUCUUUUUUUUUUUUUUUUUUUUUUUUUUGAGACAGAGUCUUGCUCUGUUGGCUGGGCUGGAAUACAGUGGCACGAUCUCGCCUCACUGCAACCUCUGCCUCCCGGGCUCAAGCGAUUCUCCUGCCUCAGCCUCCCGAGUAGCUGGGAUUACAAGCCUGGCUAAUUUUUGUAUUUUUAGUACAGACGGGGUUUCACAUAUACUUCACUCAUACAGGUGGGCCCAUAUUUCCUACAUGAAACAGGACCCAUACAUAGUUCACUUCUAAGUGGGAAAAUAUGAAAAUACGUCUUUUAACAAAAACCUAUAUAUGAAUAUUUAUUUGUAAGGGUCUUAGUCAUGAAAUCAUCAAAAAUUGGAAGCAAUCAAAAUGUUCUUUAACUUGUGAAUGGAUAAAUAAAUUGUGGUACAUCCACAUAAGGCAAUGCUGCUCUAUAAUAGAAUGAACCCAUGAUACACACAGCAACUUGGAUGACUCUCAAAAGCAGCAUGCUAUGUCACAGAAGCCAGGCUCAGCAGGCUACACACAUAAUCAUUCCAUAUACGUGACAUUUUUACAAAGGCGAAACUCUAGGGACAGAGAACGGACCAGUGCUGGCCAGGGGCUGGAGGUGGAAGGAGGGGCUGAGUACAAAGUAGUUUCAAAUAAUGUUUUGGGGUAAUUGAAAUAUUCCAUAUCUUGACUGUGAUGACAUCGAUGUGUUUGUCAAAACUCAUCGACCUGUUUACUAAAAAGAGAGAAUUUUAUUGUAUGUAAAUUACACUUCGGUAAACCUGACUUUAAAAUAGCAAUGAGUUGGAAAUUUCAGGAAUCAAAUAACCUAGAGAUUUGUCAAAGGGCUUUUCUCCUGCCUCUCAGCUUUACCAAAUGCUUUAUUGCCUAGCAUUAUGCUAUGAGGUUCAUUUCAGUCCUGUGCUUGUGAGAUUGUUUUUUUUUUUUUUUUUUUUUUUUGAGACAGAGUUUCGCUGAUCUCGGCUCACUACAACCUAUACCUCCUGGGUUCAAGUGAUUCUCCUGCCUCAGCCUCCCGAGUAGCUGGGAUUGCAGGCGCCCACCACCACGCCCGGCUAAUUUUUGUAAUUUUAACAGAGAUGGGGUUUCACCAUGUUGGCCAGGCUGGUCUCAAACUCCUGACCUCAGGUGAUCCACCC
Molecule: long non-coding RNA, 4808 nt
Filed under: Homo sapiens (human)
Lineage: Eukaryota; Metazoa; Chordata; Mammalia; Primates; Hominidae
Description: HSALNT0273700
Source: RNAcentral